AUGUAUGUUCGUGCUUGUACCUUUAAGAGGCAGUUACAUGAGGAUGCAUUGGGUGACUACAACAACUACUAUUCCAAUUCAUGCUCACUACCAUCGGUUGAUUCCUCCACUGUUGCACCUACUAGAGCAGCCACACCUCAGAUUGUGAGUGCGACAUCAUCUAAAGUGUAUGGUACAUUGUCAUUGUCCAUACCGACAUCAGCUACGUCUUUGCGACAAGGUAACAGUAAAGGUAUUGAUGAUAUAACUUCACAUGAGAAUGAUGCAUCCCUAAUUAACUUAAAUACAUCAUGUGUUGAGUUACCUGUUGAUUUGAGCACGCCACCUAUUUUAGAGAAUCAUGUUACUAUCAUGAAUGCAUCAUGUGAUCAAACAACUGAAAUACCAACAAUUUUGAGUGCGCCCAUUGAAUUAACUGUUGAUGUCAAAGAACCAAUAUUUAAUAAUUUUGAUAUGACCUCUAGUCUUGGUGAUCAUUCUGUGUCAAAUGACUUAUUGCAUGUUUUAUUAUUUAAGCAUGUUGUAGCAUGUAAAUUUGAUGCACGCAAGGUUUAUUCACCAAUGUUGGGAUGGUUUAAUGAUGAAUAUUGUCAAUCUUUUGAUAGGAAUAAGAGCUUCACUUAUAUGUGCAAACUGAGUUGCAAUAUUUUCAUGCCUUCUACUUAUGAUAAUAUUUUGGCUUUAUAUUUUAUGAUCUAUGAAAGUUACUCAUGUAUACAUGUGUCAUAUGUGCAAAAAUCAAGGGAAGUAAAAAUGGAUGACAUAUACAUAUACAACAUGUAUACCUUGUCUCUUUUGUUAGCCACAUUUCAGAUUAAGCAACGCCGAGGACGGCUUUGUUUUCAAAAAGGGGAGGAUGAUGAGGACAUGACUACCUUGGAUACGACCAAAAAUAUUGCAUACAUGGAUAUUUGUCAGGUGAUUUCUAGUGCAAACUAUUCAAUAAUCUAUCUAUGUUAUCCAGAACAAAAAUACUUCACACAUUUUUGUGUUUUGUCUAAUUGCAGGUGUAUGGGACAUUUGUACAAUUCACAUAUGAAGAUAAGGGAGAAAGAGAUUUUUACUUGCUGUUCAAAAAGUUCUCUCACGUCACUUUUGGGCCAAGAGAAGAUAGAGUCCAAGUCUCUCAUGUUCUGGAUUCACAUUCGGACUACACAGACAUACCUGACUCAAAACGCCAACAACUUUUUCAUACGGACUCCAAAUUGGGUGAUUCGUUUUUUGUUGGAAUCUAGAUUUUGUGCUCUUUCCAGCCCAAUUUGA
Molecule: ribosomal RNA, 1263 nt
Filed under: Triticum aestivum (bread wheat)
Lineage: Eukaryota; Viridiplantae; Streptophyta; Magnoliopsida; Poales; Poaceae
Description: partial small subunit ribosomal RNA
Source: RNAcentral